RNAcentral lists this long non-coding RNA (618 nucleotides) under Monodelphis domestica (gray short-tailed opossum). RNAcentral describes it as "lncRNA (ENSMODG00000038211.1)". The record is from RNAcentral. Lineage: Eukaryota; Metazoa; Chordata; Mammalia; Didelphimorphia; Didelphidae.
CUAAAGUAGUCAAACAAUGGGAGUGCCAUUUUAUUGGGGGGGGGGGGAAGCUACUUGUAAAUGAAAUAGUUUAAGUAGAAGAGGGAUAUUUUUCAGGGAUAUUUUUAGACUGAGAGAAGAUUAUUUCAUGAUUUCCAAAGCUGGAGUAGAGAUCAUCCUAAAUCUCAUCUACGAUUUGUGAAUUCAUAAGAAGAAGAGAGAGGGCCAAGGAUAAGUCAAUUCAUAUCAAACAUUAAUUAAGUAACUCCAUUGUGCAUGCCAUUAUGUUUGGGGCUUUGGAUACAACAAUAAAUAUGGAAGUAUUUACCCUCUAGUAGUAGUAGUCUCUCGGUGAUUGAUAAUGACAAUUGUCUUUGUGCGUUUUCAUCUACAGUAUACCCUCAUAUGGCUUUGAAGUCCAAAGACUGAGGCGCAAAGUUUGUGAUACAUGGGACCCGGGAAGCCAGUUGUUACGGGAGGUUAUGGAAAAGAGAUCUAAUUCCUCUUGCCAGCAGUUCAAAUACUUUAAAGAGAGCUGCCAUGCAGAAGACACAUAAGGAGAGCAGAAAACUCAAGAAAUACACGGAUUUAAAGGAAUCUAUAAACACUGAAAACAUGAGAAGGCAAGGCCAAGAUGGU